Nymphaea colorata (pocket water lily) is the source of this 5761-nucleotide long non-coding RNA. RefSeq lists it as uncharacterized. The record is from RefSeq and is a predicted model, not a curated record. The transcript is spliced from 2 exons. NCBI's taxonomy places the organism in Eukaryota, Viridiplantae, Streptophyta, Magnoliopsida, Nymphaeales, Nymphaeaceae.
GGGUAGAUAGAUUGUAACUAAUUGGUUUAGGUUUGAAAAAUUUUGGGCCGCAUCAAGGAGAUUCUGGUACUUGCGGCUGAGUUUUGGCCGUAGUCGGGUGAGUGCUAACCCCAAGUGCAUUGAGAUGGAGGCGCAGGAGCAUAGGGCGACCGGCGACGGACCGGAGAGGAAUUUCAUGAGCAGGUAUUUCGUGGGCAGAUAUUCUCUGGGUGGAGAAACCAAACCUGGCAGACUUGCCUCAAAUGAUGGUGGAGGUCAGAGAGAUUGAUCUGGUGGUUGCUCUUCACCCGAAAGCCGGACGGAUUCUAAAAGGUAUGUUCUGCUACUCAGCCAUCGUUGGCAUCCUGGGCAAUCGAUCUCGUUCAGGCCUCGAUUAUGGGUAUGUUUUUCAACCCCUGAGGAACGAAACCCUAGAUUCUCAGUUAUUGGGAGCGUGUCGAUUCUGCAGAGGAGAGCGUGGACAGCAGAGUCUCUGGUGCUUGUGGCUAGCAGGUGAUCGCGAGGCCAAGAGAUGAGCAUUCGAGAAGAAGAGAGAUCGUUUUAUGAAUCCAGCUCUUGGGGCUCUCGGCGUUGUGGCGGAAUGAUUACAUCUUCAAAGGGAUAGCUCGAGGGCUGGGCGGAAAGUACUUAGUAGAAGAUGGCUACACCUAACCUGGGUUUCGUGAGAUUGCAGAUUGAGGUACCAGUGGGGUUUAACCCUGCUCCGCUGGUCACUUUGCACCUUGGUAAUGGUCAGUCCCUAAGGCAAGAAAUUGUUUAUGAAUGUAAGAUCCUUUACUGCUCCAUUUGUGGAGCCAUGUCUCAUGUGACAACAAACUGUCAGAGAAGCCUAAAAAGAGGGGUUGUGGAGGGAGGCGAAGGAGACCCGUUGGAGAGAGUUAAAAUUGUUGAUAGGGGGCAACCUUGAGGAGAACCACAGCGAGAAACGAGACAUCAGGUUUCUCUGGCAAACCCUCAAGAGGUGCAUGGUGGGACGGAUGGUCAGGAAGGGAACCACAGUGCUAUCAACCCUUUGUCAAUGCUCACUCGGGAUACCAGGCGUGUAGAGAAAAAGCAGUGAUGAGCAAAAUGGGAUAGACGAGUGGCUAUCAUCUCGUGCAGAUGUUAGAUGACUCUCAGCGGGUCGAAGCGGAACAGGUACCCGUGUGCUGUCUCCCCAAGCUAAUCCCUUUUCUAUUCUAAACUCUGUUCAUUGUACACACACAAACCAGGCUCGAUCAGUGUUCGCAUUUGGUGUGGCUGCAACGAUGCCUGAGAAAGCCCAUAAGGAGGCUAGUAUUCAAACCGCAGCGCAGUACGUUAAAUCUAUGAAGGGGAAGAACCAUGGAGAGUGAGGGAGGCAGCUGCUUCAGGAGAAGCAAGACCUCAACAUUUUGGCAGAGGGAUGGGUCGCCGUCUGUAGAAAGAGGAGGAAAGGAAGGGGGAUUUGGGGAGUGGAUCUGAGGGGAGCUGAGGAGUUGCAAAAAGGGAGCGGGACCAGCUUAGUCCCAGGGGAGAAAGGGGGAGGGGCAGACUCUGGUUUUCCAUGCAGUUUCAAAUAAUGUCCUGGAACGUCCAAAGGGUUGCAAGGGCUGCAACUCUGGUUUUCCAUGUAGCUUUCCUUAUGGAUAACUGUGGCCCAUGGGCAGAUUUUACCGAGCCUGGCCAGGAAAGCAAACUAUACCGGCGUGGAGAACUCGAUAGAAGAGGAGGAAGUGACGAGGGUUACCUGCAUGUGGACUGAAGGUGAUGUCCAAAGUCAGGGCUGGAUCAAAAACAGGUGGUGGCUUGCUGGUUUUUUCUAAGUCUGCAAAUGGGAUUUGUCUAUCUGUGUCAUAGGAGCUUAUAUGCCUGCUCACCCGCUUCACCAUAGCUGUGCACUAGGACAGCUUGCAAUUUCUUGCAGCAGAUCAGCAUUCCAACAAUCGUCAUGGGGCACUUCAAUGCAAUGAAGCAUGCUUCUAAUAAAACCGGGCGCCUUCCCUCAUAUCAGUCUUGUAGCCAGUUUCGUUCCUUUUUAGAGGAAUGUGGGCUUUUUGAGGUACGGACCCAGGAAGCCCCUAUACCUGGUCGAAUCACAAAAGGGGCCAAGGGAAGAUUUGGUGCAAGCUGGAUUGGUGUUUGCUUAAUCAACAAUGGCUCGAAAGCAGUCUUGGACUCUUGGGUAGAGAUCUCUUAGAGCGAGAGCUAGGGUCUCUUCAGGCCACAAGGCUCUUGUGUUUUCCAACAAGGAACUUUCUACUGUGACUAAACCUCCUUGUCGCUUCAGAUUCUAUAGGCCUUGGCUGUCCAACACACUUGUUGUGGACAUGAUCAGGCACGCUCGGGAGGAGCCUUCUUAUGGUUGUCCUAUGUUAAGGGUUCUUGCAAAACUUGGUAGUGUCAAAGCAAGCCUUAAACAAUGGAAAAGAGAGAGUGGUAACAUCUUAGCAGAGAGGGUAAAAGCUUACCAGCAAGCUGGAAAGUUGACAAGAGGUAAUAGAAAAGGGCAACUGGGAUCUAUGAGAGGAGGUAGAUCAGACUAGGGAGGAGCUCAAUCAGAAGCUGUUCAUGGAGGAAAUCUAUUGGAGUGAUAGAGCCAAAGUUAGGUGGUUGCGUGAGGGGGACCGCAACACCAAAUUCUUCCAGGCUUCGGCCAAAGGAAGACAGGAAAGGAAUACCAUACACAGUUUUCAGGUUGGAAAUCAUUUGUAUUCAACUAUAUCGGAUAUUUUGGAGAGAUCGAUAAGUUUUUAUGAGGAAUUCAUGAAAGAAGGCCAGGCUAGCGGGAACCUUCAAAAUACUGAAUUGAAGGGAAGAGUGUCUCUGAUGUGGAAAAUCAGCGCCUCCUUUGCCCAGUGAGCCGGGAAAAGGUAAAAGGUGCUGUUUUUUCUUUAGAUAGUCAUACUGCUGCCAGCCCCAAUGGGAUCCCCAACUAUUUCUACCAGUAGCUUUGGGGGAUUAUAGGGACUGAUGUCAGUAGAGAAGUGGCAGAUUUUUUAAAGAGCGAGAGACUGGUUAACAGCAUUAAUUUCACCAAUAUCAUGCUCAUUCCCAAAGUGAGAGGAGCGAUAAGGAUUUAGGAUUUUAGGCAUAUAGCAUUGUGUAAUAGUAUGUACAAGAUUAUAUCCAAGUGAUGGUAGCUAGAUUACCGCUCAUUCUAGCUCGUACCAUCGGGGAGCAACAUGGGGCGUUCAUUAAAAAUAGUCAUUCACGAUCAGAUCGCUGUAGCCAAUGAUGUUGUCGAUCUCUUGGGCUCUAGAAAGGAGUAUUCACUUUGCCUUAAAUUAGACCUCUCUAAGGCUUUUACGAUUGGGUUUCGUGGAAAUUCCUUGCCAAUAGUAUGGCCUCCUUGGGGUUCCAACCAUCAUGGAUAAGUGAUCAUGAAAUGUGUUUAAACGUCCUCUCUCUCAAUGCUCAUCAAUGGAGUGGAGGGUAGGGCAUUUAGCAGCGGCAAGGGUAUCAGACAAGGAGACCCGCUCUCCUCCUAUUUGUUCAUCAUUGUUAUCAGACAAGGAGACCCGCUCUCCUCCUAUUUGUUCAUCAUUGUUAUACAAAUUAUCGCCAGAAAUUUGGGUAGAAGGGUGAUAGAGAGGCAAAUUCUCAUUCCGCUGUGUGUCAAGAAUUUGCCUUGGUUGAGCUCUUAUGUUUGCUGAUGAUUUUCUGAUCUUUGCUAAGGGCUCCCCGAAGUCUGUGAAGGCUAUUAAGGGUUUUUUGGAUGACAUGGAGAAAGUAUCAAGAUUAUCAGUUAAUGGGGAUAAAUCCGUCAUCAUUCCCUUUGUUAUGACUUCAAGUGAAAGGCAGCAAAUUAGUGAUACUCUCGGCUGGUGUCUUGGCCCAUUAAAUACUUGGGCCUUCCUUUAUUUGUGGCCCCAUUGAAAGAGGAACACUACCAGGACUUGAUGCUUAAGCUGGACAUAAAACUGUGCAAUUGGAAAACUUUCUCUUCGGCAGGUAGAUAGUGUGUAAUGAGAUACAACCUGGGCUCGGUGAUCUCCUUCUGGAUGCAGGUGUUUCUUCUCCCUAAGGCGACCACGCUAAGCUGAAACGGACAAUGGCGACUUUCUUAUGGGCUGAAACUAGUACGAUGCAUAGAAGUCACUAUGUAAGCUGUUCCACUCUCACUAAACCGAUUUUGGAAGGAGGGAUUGGUUUAAAAAAGAUAGUGAAUAUCAGUGAGGCGCAGUUGGCUUCUAGAUUCUGCAGGAUUGUAAAUCUGGAUUCCUUCCUAUCCAGAUGGUUAACGAGUAGAUAUCUGAAAUGGUCAUAUAGCAUGUGGUUCAGACAUGAGAGAAGGAAAGGAUCAUAGGCCUGGCAAAGCCUCAAAGCAGGCUGGAGGAAAAUUAGUAGCAAUGCUCCAUUGGAAAAUUGUCUGGGCACACGUGUAAAGUGCUGGCUAGACCGAUGGGCAGAUCAUAAUCUUUGUAGAUUAUCUGAUUGGGGAAGAAUAUGGUACGAAAUACAACAUGUUAGAGAGAUUGGUAGAGGCAAUAUGAAGAUCUAGGGAGCAGCAACACCUUUGGCCUGCUACCUUGUGCAGGGCUAUCGACUCGAUGCAGCUUGCAAAGGGACUGGAUCAGCUAGUCAGCUGACUCAGCUCUUCUAGCAACCUUAAAGCCUAACCAGCCAAGAUAUUUGGGAGGCCAUCCGAGGUAAAGAGGAACCCAAGGUUGAGCUAGAGCAGCUUGGUUCCUCUAUGUCGCGUGCAAGAACAAACUCCCUAUGCUUGAAAAAUGACAGCAGCUAUUAGAUGCUUUUUAUGUCAUAAGGCGGAGGAAAACAACUCCCACUUGUUUUUACAAUGCAACCAAACUAUCAGUCUGGAAUUGGGUUGUCAAGAAAUUUGGACGCUCUCGGAUGCCUUGGCUGGAUUUGAGGAAGGAGGUGGAGCUCUGGUAUAAUGCCAGGCUAGAGCCAGCUUGGGUAAAAAAGAAAUGUUUGGAGUGCUUCCAAAUAGUAAUCUGGAAUAUAUGGUGGUGGAGGAACCAGCUGGUUCAUGAUUCUGUGGAAGAGCUCAAUGUGCAUGUAACCAAGAUCAUUUGGUGUACCUGUCAAUCAGUGUUUAAGGGUCUGCUCAUAUAGGAGAGGGAGAAACUUUUACUGAAAAUAUGGAGAGACCGGACAACAUGGUUGGUUUGAGCUUGGAGCUGGUGAAUUUCAAGCUUAACAAUGGUAGUCGGACUGCAGCAGUUUGGAAAAGCAGGCGACUGGGGAGCUGAUAGUGAAGACUGUUAGUGCUGUCGGGGUAGAGAGGAACCAUAGAUGCAGUUGCUAUCCUCAUGGUUAGAGGAGUAGCACCCUCGGGGAACUGGCUUAAAGGAAAGAUAGAGGGAAGACGAAGGUGGGAGGAUGAAUGAAGGAGAGAGCAGGAAGCACCGGACGGCAUUCAGGUUCACUGCUCUUACACUACGCUGGAAGCUGGUUUGGCUGUGUUCGAAAAUGAAUUCCACGAAGAGAGGCGAGCUACUAGUUGAUCAUGUUAUUAUGUCCACUGGCUUGGGACAGGUUCUGCAACCCGAGCAUAGUUUCCUUGGAAGUGAUACAGCGUUGCACGUGUUGUUCUUAGUCCACCGGAGCAAGCAAGGAUCUUGAUCAAGAAUCCUGACUUAAUUUGAUUUUUGUCAUGGCUCUACUACUCUCGCCUAUUACUCAGCAAAAGCCUUCACUACUUGCUCACCAUGUAAAGCUGUAUAACUUACAGUUAGUGUUUUUUUUACCAUAUGUACUAGUCCAUGUAUGUGUUCUAUUGUUAUUCGUUUAACUGUAAUUAACUGUAUUUGAUAUUCAACUGAAAUUGGUUUUA